Molecule: ribosomal RNA, 100 nt
Filed under: Castor canadensis (American beaver)
Lineage: Eukaryota; Metazoa; Chordata; Mammalia; Rodentia; Castoridae
Source: RNAcentral
UAUGGCAUACCACCCUGAAUGCGCCUGAUCACGAAAGCUAAGCAGGGUUGGCCAGCUUAGUACUUGGAUGGAAGAAAUGCACUCUGCAAAUUGGCCAUAU